RNAcentral lists this ribosomal RNA (340 nucleotides) under Ophichthys cuchia (cuchia). RNAcentral describes it as "partial 12S ribosomal RNA". It matches the Rfam family "Bacterial small subunit ribosomal RNA", at positions 1036 to 1522 of the family's 1533-position model. The record is from RNAcentral. Lineage: Eukaryota; Metazoa; Chordata; Actinopteri; Synbranchiformes; Synbranchidae.
AGCCUAUAUACCGCCGUCGUCAGCUUACCUCUUAAGAGAAUUAUAGUAAGCAAAAUUAGUAUAACCCAAAACGUCAGGUCGAGGUGUAGCAUAUGAAUUGGAAAGAAAUGGGCUACAUUCUCUAUAAUAGAAGAUACGGACAAUAAAUUGAAAUAUAGAUUUGAAGAAGGAUUUAGAAGUAAGCUGAAAAUAGAGCAUUCAACUGAAACCGGCCAUAAAGCGCGCACACACCGCCCGUCACUCUCCCCGGACAAAACAAACAAAUAAAUAAUAAAUUAAAUAUAUAAAGGGGAGGCAAGUCGUAACAUGGUAAGUGUACCGGAAGGUGUACUUGGAAAAA